GCAGAUUUGAUAGAAGGUUUCAUCCCCGGGCGCCGCCUCCUGCCACAGCCCCCCCCCCCCCCCCCCCUUCUCUCUCUCUCACACACACACACACAAACAGAAAAAAAAAACUUCCUCUGAGAUUUAGAUCAAGCUCAACCCCCUCGUUGGCUCAUCCCAUACCGUACCCCUAGUCUCACGAUUCGGUUCCCCGGACAUCCUUUCCUGCCGACGCGUCGAUCCGCUCCGCUACUCUUCUCAGCCUCCCCUCUCUGCCAUGGAUGGAUAGAUCUUUACCGGCGCCCUUGGACCUACACUUCCAUAGAAGAGAAGCAUGCCAGCCGGUUUCUCUCAUCUCCAUGGUGUUCUCGGCGAUCUGUAUAUAUCAGCCUGCGUCCUCGUCGUCAGUCAAAAUACCCUUCUGGCGCGGCGUGGCCAGUCGAUGGCAUGGCGUGGCGGGGCGUCGCGCGGUGGCCGGGCUACCUCCCCCUGGCUGUCCUUCUCGCCCGCCCGGCGCCUCAAUCCGCUACUUCCACCAGACUUAUAUCUGCCUCUCCUUUUCCAGCGAUGGUUCUCAUCUCAAGCUAGCUUCUAUCCAUGGCCGUGACCGUAAAGUGUGGCCUGCCAGCAAGGGGUCAAUAAAUAAAAGCCAGGCGGCUUGGGCGACGCCUUACCGCGGCUGAGCGUGCGUUCCUCCUACGCAUCGGGCCGCUCCGUGACAAUGGUAGAGAGUAAUUUGGGUGUAGAGGGUACUUUGCAAAGAGAGUAAGCUGAUCAGGGUGGUACCUUUUAAAGGGUUCUCUUUGAUUUAUAGGAAACUUGGAGGAUUUUAUUGCUAAGGAAUUUUCCUAGUUUCCAAUUUUAUAGGAAACAUGCAAACUUAUUUGAUUCGUAGGAUUUAAAACCACUUUGCAUGUUACUGCUAUGUUUCUUUUAUUUGUACAUGUACGACAAGCAAGUUUUCUCAAAAUAUCUUUACAUUUGGACUCGCAAAACCUAAUUAAUCAUUGCAUGUUUAUCUUUUUUUUUAGGAAAAUCAUUUUAAUGUUGUCAUUCUAUUGGCUGAGGCAAGUUGGAGAAGAGAAAAGAUUGAAGAAUGACUAAAUAGAUGGUAAAACUAAUUGCAUAGAGAAUGUAAGAAGACCAAACACCAACUUAUCACUCUAGCUUAUUUGGUCCGAAAAUGGCUGCAUGUACAAAUAUUUAACGGAAGGAAUAAUUUCAAAGAAAAAUUUCCAUGAGAUUCAACCUCAUGGAAAAUUUCUUUGUUUCUAUAUCGACUGUGGCUAGCACCUAAUCCUUCAAAUAAAUUGUUGUAUUUUUUUUUCAUUUCUAUUGCAUAUUACGGGGUUUGUAUUCCCGUAGGAUUCAACAUGGUAUGACAUUCGAUUUCUAUGUUUUUAAUGUUCCUAUGUUUUUUGAACCAUGCGAAUCAAGGGGGCCCUAAAGAUUUGGUGGUAUAUAUCUACUUGUUUGGUUUGGUUAAAGUGUGGCUGUGACUUCUGGCUUGUAAGCCAAAAAAACAUCUAUUCAGAUUCUUUUGGUUUUCCCUUUUUGACUUUUGACUAGAUAUUGUUACACGAUGGUACAAGCAAAAAGCCAGAAUCAAAACACCUAAAUAGGCACUUAUAGGCUUAUAAGCUAAAUAUCGAAAGCCACAAGUUCAACCCAACUUUACGGCUGGUACUGUUGUCACCUUUUUUAAUGUUUUAUAUCUAGCUUUCUUUAGAUUUUCAGCUUUUAGUCUCAGUACUCCUUCUGAUUGUAAAUUUUUGACUCAAAUUUGCUCAAAUAUGGAUGUAUAUAUUCUUAAAAAGCGUCUAGAUACAUAUAAUAUUUCGACAACAAUUUAAGACCACAUUUUUUUGGUUAUCGUUCCUUAAUUCUAUUUCUUGUACCCUCGCCGCAGCCGGUUACUAUCUAGACAGUGUUCAGCGUCCACCUGCCAUUCCAAUGUGCCAUGUCCUGGUAGCGGUGGCAGAUCUGCCUCUAUCCGGGGACGACGAGGAUGGGAGAUAUGUCGAUGAAUGCAAAUGACGUUUUUUGGUUGUACAGUAAGUGCACAUAUAUACGAGAAAGCGGAUUGUUUGUCGGAUGUAGAUCCUAAUAUAGGCUUAUUGUCUACAAAAUAAAUCUUGGGUCGAGAUUUACCAAGCUAGAACCCUCUAUAGUUUGGCUGAAAUCCUGGACAAGUUCAUUCGUGCCUUUCUUGGUUGACUCUUCUACCCCAAUGGAUAUGUACUGCUUGAAUAAGCUGUAUCUUUUAUCUCGCCAUCAUAAUGGCAUCUGUACAUUAACUUUCCCCUCCAUCCUAUGACACUCGAAGAGCAAUAACAGUGAUUCUUUUUUUAAAUUAGUAGGAGAUGGUUGUCUGCAAGGCCCAAGUGACGACAGUGAGCCUGAACAAAAGGAACUUGUUGCAACAACGAGCUCAUGGACAUAUGUCACAUAUCUACUGCGCCCACCCAAUUGAUGCUAGGCACCUGGGCUACAUUAGCUGUAUGCCCCCCCCCCCCCCCCCCCCGGGUUCCACUCCCUGGCCCGUUGGUGAUUUUGUUCCCCCUGCUACUGUCCCUUCCUUGCUCGGCCGAGUCCUCCACUCCUCCCUGGCGGCGCGUUUGAUAUUGCCCUCUCCGCACUUGCUGUUCCUCCCGGCGAAUCUGCAGUUCCUGUCUGGCCUCCGCACUUGAGUUCCUCCCCGGCGAAUCUGCUGUUCCUUAGCCUCUGCAACCUGAAGGUUAGUUCUGCUUCCCCGGCGAAUCUGCUGUUCCUCUAGCCUCUGCAACCUGAAGAUGGCCCCAAGGAGGCACGAUCGCGGGCUCGUAAAAGCUAAGAAGGAAGCCAUGGCUGCAGCAAGAUCGAACGUAAACACCAUCCGUAUCCGCCCAUUCGAGGACAUUCCCAGGUACCCCGAGGCCAUUCCGAACGACCUCACAGCAGAACAAGCUGCUCAACUUCAUCUGCCCGCAGAUUCCAAGGAACAAAACUUAACUAAUCCUUGGUUGCCUAGUGACGUGACUGCGAUUCAGUUGCAGAAUUUAUAUAGGCAGGUCCGCGCAAGAUUCAAGCAAGUGCAAACUUUCUCUUACCCAGGCAAUUCUAUGGAAGAUUCGAGUGUACCUGUCACAACUCCUUCACACGAGAAGAUUACUUACCAUAUCAUCACAUCGAGGGAUGUCCGCCCUAAAGUUGGACGUGAUCAUUGUGUACCUGCCGAAGGUCGCAAAUACGAUGGGCCAGCAGUCACUAUUCAACUUCUUAAAGAAGAAUCUGAUAAUUAUAUUACCGCAUGGUCUGUGUUGAGGAAUGGUGGUAAUGCUAGGUGGUUUGCGUUUCAUGACAAUGUGACGGAUCUUGAUCCUCAGAUUUUUGGGGAUGUGACAGUAGUCAAAUACAGUGGCGGCUACACUAGCUUGUAUGAACCUAGCUUUGUUCAUUCUUUUUAGGUUUCUUAUUAAAUCAUGUCUGUUAUUAUUUAUCCAAGUUCUUUCUUACUCUUGACAGGCAUGAUGUCAAUAUAAGUAGACACACACUACCUAGGGCCAUUGACUUCCUUGUGAAUUUCGAUCCUGAUGCGCUGACUACAAAUAUUGGAAUUAUUAUCUUCCA
RNA transcript from Brachypodium distachyon (stiff brome), 3588 nucleotides. RefSeq lists it as uncharacterized. The record is from RefSeq and is a predicted model, not a curated record. NCBI's taxonomy places the organism in Eukaryota, Viridiplantae, Streptophyta, Magnoliopsida, Poales, Poaceae. The transcript has 7 exons.